CCAAACAUGUUGGUUACCACCUUCCUUUAUUA
RNAcentral lists this transfer RNA (32 nucleotides) under Craugastor pygmaeus (pygmy free-fingered frog). RNAcentral's name for it is "partial tRNA-Met". Lineage: Eukaryota; Metazoa; Chordata; Amphibia; Anura; Craugastoridae. The record is from RNAcentral.